GAUGAACGCUGGCGGCGUGCCUAAUACAUGCAAGUCGAGCGAACAGACGAGGAGCUUGCUCCUCUGACGUUAGCGGCGGACGGGUGAGUAACACGUGGAUAACCUACCUAUAAGACUGGGAUAACUUCGGGAAACCGGAGCUAAUACCGGAUAAUAUAUUGAACCGCAUGGUUCAAUAGUGAAAGACGGUUUUGCUGUCACUUAUAGAUGGAUCCGCGCCGCAUUAGCUAGUUGGUAAGGUAACGGCUUACCAAGGCAACGAUGCGUAGCCGACCUGAGGGGGGGGUGGGCCCCCAAGGGAACAGGGACAGGGCCCACACUCGCAGGGGGGGGGGAAGAGGGGAAUUUUCCGAAAGGGGGAAACCCGUAGGAGGCAAACCCCGCGUGGGGGAGAAGGGUUUGGGGUGGGUAAAACUUUUUUUUGGGAGAAAAAAAAAUGUAAAAUUAACUGUCCUCGUUUUGGCGGCCCAAAUAAAAAAACCCGGGGAAAAACGCG
RNAcentral lists this ribosomal RNA (496 nucleotides) under uncultured bacterium. Its description in RNAcentral is "partial 16S ribosomal RNA". It matches the Rfam family "Bacterial small subunit ribosomal RNA", at positions 28 to 507 of the family's 1533-position model. The record is from RNAcentral.